Molecule: ribosomal RNA, 497 nt
Filed under: uncultured bacterium
Lineage: Bacteria
Description: partial 16S ribosomal RNA
Rfam family: Bacterial small subunit ribosomal RNA
Source: RNAcentral
GACGAACGCUGGCGGCGUGCCUAAUACAUGCAAGUUGAGCGCUGAAGGUUGGUACUUGUUCCAACUGGAUGAGCAGCGAACGGGUGAGUAACGCGUGGGGAAUCUGCCUUUGAGCGGGGGACAACAUUUGGAAACGAAUGCUAAUACCGCAUAAAAACUUUAAACACAAGUUUUAAGUUUGAAAGAUGCAAUUGCAUCACUCAAAGAUGAUCCCGCGUUGUAUUAGCUAGUUGGUGAGGUAAAGGCUCACCAAGGCGAUGAUACAUAGCCGACCUGAGAGGGUGAUCGGCCACAUUGGGACUGAGACACGGCCCAAACUCCUACGGGAGGCAGCAGUAGGGAAUCUUCGGCAAUGGACGAAAGUCUGACCGAGCAACGCCGCGUGAGUGAAGAAGGGUUUCGGAUCGUAAAACUCUGUUGGUAGAGAAGAACGUUGGUGAGAGUGGAAAGCUCAUCAAGUGACGGUAACUACCCAGAAAGGGACGGCUAACUACGUG